Molecule: ribosomal RNA, 232 nt
Filed under: uncultured bacterium
Lineage: Bacteria
Description: partial 16S ribosomal RNA
Rfam family: Bacterial small subunit ribosomal RNA
Source: RNAcentral
CGGACGGGUGAGUAAUGUCUGGGAAACUGCCUGAUGGCGGGGGAUAACUACUGGAAACGGUAGCUAAUACCGCAUAAUGUCUACGGACCAAAGCGGGGGACCUCCGGGCCUCGCGCCAUCAGAUGAACCCAUAUGGGAUUAGCUAGUAGGUGAGGUAACGGCUUACCUAGGCGACGAUCCCUAGCUGGUCUGAGAGGAUGACCAGCCACACUGGAACUGAGACACGGUCCAG